CCCCUAGAUGUUCUGGGCCGCACGCGCGCUACACUGAACAGUUCAACAAGUCUUAACCUUGGCCGAUAGGUCUGGGUAAUCUUUGAACGCUGUUCGUGAUUGGGAUAGACCUUUGCAAUUAUGGGUCUUCAACGAGGAAUUCCUAGUAAACGCAAGUCAUCAGCUUGCAUUGAUUACGUCCCUGCCCUUUGUACACACCGCCCGUCGCACCUACCGAUUGAAUGGUCCGGUGAAGCCUCGGGAUUGUGGCUGGUUUCCUUUAUUGGAGGUCGGUCGCGAGAACUUGUCUAAACCUUAUCAUUUAGAGGAAGGUGAAGUCGUANCA
RNAcentral lists this ribosomal RNA (325 nucleotides) under uncultured eukaryote. Its description in RNAcentral is "partial 18S ribosomal RNA". It matches the Rfam family "Eukaryotic small subunit ribosomal RNA", at positions 1470 to 1796 of the family's 1831-position model. The record is from RNAcentral.